CCCGAAAGGUCGAAGGCGGAGAUUCAACUGUCUGUCGUGUGUGUCGGCGUUUUUGAGGCGAACUUGAUUGUUCAGUGAACUGAGACGACGGUGUGCUUGCGCGUCUCCUCGGAGGCGGCGUACUGUCACGCUUCGCUCGGCCUCGACGGACGUGACCUGGCCGCGAAGGUAUGCACUUCUCCGUUAGUAGGACGUCGCGACCCGUUGGGGCGCCGGUCUAAGGCCUGUCGCGUAGACUGAUCUCGCGCGUUUCAAAGCGCGCGGGACGCAGACCGGCAGUGUCCCGGCCGUGCCCCCGACGGUAUAAUCGAACGGACGGCGAUGGGCCUCGUCGGACGCGAAAGCGUCCGUCGCGUUCUGUGCGAGCGCAAGUGCGUGCGCGUUUAUCGGCCUCGUGCCGUCGGCGGUCGGACCUGGUGCCGGCUCCGGACGCGCAUCACUGUUGGCGUUUCGUCACUCGAACGGGUCCGCGCUCGCGCGUUUCGGCGCGCGGGCACGCCGUGUCGGCGACGCUAUAGCUUUGGGUACUUUCAGGACCCGUCUUGAAACACGGACCAAGGAGUCUAGCAUGUGCGCGAGUCACUGAGUGCUCGACUAAACUCAAAGGCGAAAUGAAAGUGAAAGUGACCGCGCGUCACGGCGCGCGGUUCGCCGAGGGAAGAUCGGUCGCGUGCGCUGUCGCGUCCGCGGCCGCGCAUUCCCGGGGCGUCUCGUUCUCAUUGCGAGAUGAGGCGCACCUAGAGCGUACACGCUGGGACCCGAAAGAUGGUGAACUAUGCCUGGUCAGGACGAAGUCAGGGGAAACCCUGAUGGAGGUCCGUAGCGAUUCUGACGUGCAAAUCGAUCGUCGGAACUGGGUAUAGGGGCGAAAGACUAAUCGAACCAUCUAGUAGCUGGUUCCCUCCGAAGUUUCCCUCAGGAUAGCUGGCGCUCGCGUUCGCGCGCGCUUCGCGCGCGUGCGUUCACGAGUCUCAUCUGGUAAAGCGAAUGAUUAGAGGCCUUGGGGCCGAAACGACCUCAACCUAUUCUCAAACUUUAAAUGGGUGAGAUCUCCGGCUUGCUUGAACUAAGUGAAGCCGCGAGACGAAUUAUGGAUCGAGAGUGCCAAGUGGGCCACUUUUGGUAAGCAGAACUGGCGCUGUGGGAUGAACCAAACGCAGAGUUAAAGCGCCUAAAUAGACGCUUAUGGGAUACCAUGAAAGGCGUUGGUUGCUUAAGACAGCAGGACGGUGGCCAUGGAAGUCGGAAUCCGCUAAGGAGUGUGUAACAACUCACCUGCCGAAGCAACUAGCCCUGAAAAUGGAUGGCGCUGAAGCGUCUUGCUUAUACUCUGCCGUCAGCGGCAUUGUUGGCGUUCGCCGUUUCGUCGCGGCGAUCGUCGUGAAGCCCUGACGAGUAGGAGGGUCGCGACGGUGAGCGCAGAAGGAUUGGCCGCGAGGCCGUCUGGAGCCGCCGUCGGUGCAGAUCUUGGUGGUAGUAGCAAAUACUCCAGCGAGGCCCUGGAGGACUGACGUGGAGAAGGGUUUCGUGUGAACAGCCGUUGCACACGAGUCAGUCGAUCCUAAGCCCUAGGUGAAAACCGAUGUUGAUGCGGUGUGUUUUUCAAAAUUAUAUUUUUUAUAUGAUUAUAAAAAACGAAGUUACACCCGUCGGG
Molecule: ribosomal RNA, 1654 nt
Filed under: Inocellia crassicornis
Lineage: Eukaryota; Metazoa; Arthropoda; Insecta; Raphidioptera; Inocelliidae
Description: eukaryotic LSU rRNA
Rfam family: Eukaryotic large subunit ribosomal RNA (bases 554-1654)
Source: RNAcentral